AAAUUACGAGCCCAAGCUUAAAACCCAAAGGACUUGACGGUGUCCCAUCCCCCUAGAGGAGCCUGUUCUAUAAUCGAUUCUCCCCGAUCAACCCCACCACCUCUUGAAUAUUCAGCCUGUAUACCUCCGUCGCAAGCUUACCAUGUGAACGCAUUCAGUGAGCCGAAAGAUCUAACACCCACACGUCAGGUCAAGGUGCAGCCCACGAAGUGGAAAGAAAUGGGCUACAAUUUUUAUAAUAGAACAAACGAAAGACUUCAUGAAACACAGUCACUGAAGGCGGAUUUAGUAGUAAAAAGAAAAUAGAGAGUUCUUUUUAAUCAGGCACUGGGACGCGUACACACCGCCCGUCACCCUCUUCAGAUAAUAAAUAUAAGUUAUUAACACCCCACAACCCAACAGAAGAGGUAAGUCGUAACAUGGUAAGCGUACUGGAAAGUGCGCUUGGAACAACAAAAUGUAGCUUAACAAAAGCAUCUUGCUUACACCAAGAAUAUGUCUGUAAAACCCCGACCACUUUGAGCUUAAAGCCUAGCCCAAUCCAACCCAAUGAAAAACUUACCUAUAGACAAAAUAAAUAAAACAUUUUCUUAACCAAGUAAAGGCGAUUAAAAAGUACCUAGGAGCCUUAACAUUAGUACCGCAAGGG
This 649-nucleotide ribosomal RNA is filed under the name Mantophryne axanthogaster. RNAcentral describes it as "partial 12S ribosomal RNA". The stretch from base 1 to 460 matches the Rfam family "Bacterial small subunit ribosomal RNA", at positions 877 to 1533 of the family's 1533-position model. The record is from RNAcentral. Lineage: Eukaryota; Metazoa; Chordata; Amphibia; Anura; Microhylidae.